GCGCUCACCGGAUCGCCGGCGAGCUACGGCUACCACCCGUCAUCUCUUUUCAGCUAAUCUGCUUCGCGCUACUUUUUUGAGGUGGGCACCUGGGAUGGAGGCAAGGAAUCACGAAGUGGCGUCUCCUCGGAAGGGGCAGCCUGAUGUCUUUAACCACUGAACUGUGGUUUCCAACUGGAUGCGCUUUGGGUUCAGGGCUAAGACACGCGUAGGCGGUGCAGACAGUUCAAUUCGUGGGCGGCUUUUUCUCUCCCCUGCGCGGUUUUGCAGAACUGAGGAUUCACGUUUGCCACGCAGUCUCUAAAUCCUCCUCCCAGCCCUCGCCGGAUUUCUGCAUCGGAAUUGGAUUGGAUCACACACAAAAGAAGAGCCCAGGAACUCGUUCACCACCUUGCACCUUGCCUGUUAGUUCACGGCAUAAUGGUAACAGAGUCUUCAUUAAUGGAAGCAACGUUACUACCGUGAGCCCGGAUAGCUCAGUCGGUAG
Molecule: long non-coding RNA, 487 nt
Filed under: Homo sapiens (human)
Lineage: Eukaryota; Metazoa; Chordata; Mammalia; Primates; Hominidae
Description: HSALNT0362875
Source: RNAcentral